This 305-nucleotide ribosomal RNA is filed under the name uncultured bacterium. RNAcentral describes it as "bacterial SSU rRNA". It matches the Rfam family "Bacterial small subunit ribosomal RNA", at positions 337 to 634 of the family's 1533-position model. The record is from RNAcentral.
CCCUACGGGGCGCAGCAGUAGGGAAUCUUCCACAAUGGACGAAAGUCUGAUGGAGCAACGCCGCGUGAGUGAAGAAGGGUUUCGGCUCGUAAAGCUCUGUUGGUAGUGAAGAAAGAUAGAGGUAGUAACUGGCCUUUAUUUGACGGUAAUUACUUAGAAAGUCACGGCUAACUACGUGCCAGCAGCCGCGGUAAUACGUAGGUGGCAAGCGUUGUCCGGAUUUAUUGGGCGUAAAGCGAGUGCAGGCGGUUCAAUAAAUCUGAUGGUAAAGCCCUCGGCUCAACCGGAGAAAUGCAUUCGAAAAU